Molecule: long non-coding RNA, 2440 nt
Organism: Zeugodacus cucurbitae (melon fly)
Lineage: Eukaryota; Metazoa; Arthropoda; Insecta; Diptera; Tephritidae
Exons: 3
Source: RefSeq, a predicted model, not a curated record
UACACAAUUAUUGUGACUUAUUAACGGGGCACAUAGCUGAUGCUAUACAUACGUACAUAUAGCACGAAAAUAUCAUUUAUAUAAAGAAAGUAGUGUCAAAUGUAAAGUAAUAAUAACGAGAUAGUAAUGCCACAAACCUAGGUUUAAUAUUAAAUUGUCCUCAAUCACAGAAAAAUUCAAUUUGUCUAAAUCGAAUUAUGAAAAGUGAAUAUCGUUAUUGGGGCCACUGAGCGUAUACGUAACAAUACAUGCAACACAUAUCAUAUUUAUUGGAAUGAAAUUUAUAAGCUUUCUCUGGAAUAUUUCUCAAAUUCUUCGUCAAAUCGUCGGAAUUUCGUCAAAUAACAUAAUUCUUAAAAUUUGCUCCGUCUACCUGUGCUAGUGAUAUUUGUGUAAAAAUUGAGUACAUGAGCAACAACACUAUUUGAUUAUCAGUGUUAGCUAUAAAAUCAUUAGUGAUAAGGGUGAACAAUCUUCUCGGUUCGCUCAUUCACCAUCACAUCCAUUCGAGCAGAUAAUCAUUGCCUUGAACAUGCACGCCGUCACCUUAGUAGUCUAGUGAGCAAGCAAAAAUGAUAAAAGUAAGAUAAAUUGGAGGUGGAAGUUUGCUGUGGUUGCUCCUAAAGGCACAACUGAAAAUAAAAGCGAUGAUGGUUGCAAGGAGGUGAUCUGCCUAUGGCCAACUGCUUUCAUAAUCGGUAACAACAGCACGGAUGGUUAGUUGUAGGGUUGUAUGAUGUGAAAGGGUUACUGCAAGUGUUAUUCAUACAUAUGUGCCCACAGCAACUGUAAGCUGUACAAAUAAACAAAAAACAUUUUAACGUUUGUGGACAAUUCGACAACUAAAUUCGUACAGGUGCGAUUUAUUAUGAAUGAGCAUGAAGGACGAAUUCAACAAAUUGGCAAUCACUUUGAGAUCUUCGUCGUAUACUUAGUUGAUGGCGUUCCGUUGCUGCAAGUGAUUUUCCACUUCAUUAAACUAAUUUGUGGAUUUAUGAGCAUGGAGGAUUUGUGAUGAAAUGAAUGAGCUCUGGAGCGGCGAGCUUACCCUUGGAAUAUACUCGUGCAAUGUUCUCGUAUGUAAACACAUGCGGCUUUCAUUCACAAAAGCUUACCACACAAUGACAACAAUCUACAUACAUACAUGCAUACAUAUGCGAAAAGCGAAAAAGCUAAAUUAAUCAAAAUAAAAACAAAGAAGGAAUACGAUGUGGCGCAAACUGAAACGCACAGUCGGGCGAAUUGAGAAUCAAAACAAAAUCAAUGAAAAUGGCGCUAAAGAGAACUGAGAGAAAUAUACAUUUUAUAAUACUUAUAAUAACACAAGAAAUAGGGUAGGGUUAAGUUUGGUUGAAGCGUAACAAUAUAUGUAUAUAUAUCAGUAUUUUAAAGACUAAAGUACUCUUUAAGUACGCUGUGUGGCUUGGGUACCUUUCUAAAAUCAAGGAUAGCUACCAAAUUACACGAAAACAACUCAAAUCUUGCCCGAUAAACUGAUUAUAAACUGAUUUGACAGAAAAUAAUUUACCUGAAAAACAUGAGGACUACUCUUUCAAGAGUAAACAAAUUCUUUAAUUUCUUUAAAUUCGUUAUAUAGUCGCUACCGACUACUUUUUUUUAGAAAAAUAUUACCUUAUAUCAAGUGUUACAUUUAGGUUAUAUAUUUAGGUAUAACAAAUUUCACUUCUGCUUUAGUUAUCGAAAUUUUAUUGAUUUAUUUGUAAAAGCUAAUAGUAAAAGCUUCUUACAAGGACACAGUUUCAUUGAGUUUGUAGAGAUAACUAAUUAGGGGUACCAAUAUAUGAUCUGUAUAUAUAACUGUAUAUCUAAAUUCGAUUAUGUGAAGAAAUCUUUUGUACUAUACGACAAAUGUUGCGAGGGUAUAAUUACUGUAAUUUGGCGAGCAAAACUAAAAAUAAAAUGAGGCAAUCAAAUUUAACGAAGCGCGCUUAUAAAAUGACUCAUGCUCGCGAUACACAAUGCUUUUAUAUAUUAUGGCAAAUACAUACAGAUAUGCUCAGAAUUCAAUACAUAAAAUUAGAGUGGGAACAUCUGAAGAAACUUAAGUUAAUUUGUGGUUUCAUGUUAAAAAUUUCGCUUUAUUAUCGAAAAUGUUGUUCCAAUAACAUUUACUGAAACACUUUCUUCAUAACCACGAAAAAAAUUAUGAAUACACUUGCAGGCAUUAAACUCCACUGUGCGUAAAUACUUUGUUUGUUAAAGAGAACACUAAAGAGCGUAGGUGGCGUCAGUAUUAAUAUUUCAAGUUUGGAAUGACAACGGAAGGGAUAUAUCAUUUUCAUUAAAUUGGGAAGAAAUUAUUGGUAUGCAAAAAUAAUCACUAUAUACAAACAUAAUUUAAGUUGCUAUUAUAAGUUUUCAUUGUACUGAUUAUAUACAUGUUAUUUCAUGUUCAAUACAAUUAGGCAAUAGAAUAAAA